AGUGAACGCUGGCGAUAGGCCUAACACAUGCCAGUCGAACGGCAGCACAGUAAGAGCUUGCUCUUACGGGUGGCGAGUGGCGGACGGGUGAGGAGUACAUCGGAAUCUACUUUUUCGUGGGGGAUAACGUAGGGAAACUUACGCUAAUACCGCAUACGACCUACGGGUGAAAGCAGGGGAUCUUCGGACCUUGCGCGAUUGAAUGAGCCGAUGUCGGAUUAGCUAGUUGGCGGGGUAAAGGCCCACCAAGGCGACGAUCCGUAGCUGGUCUGAGAGGAUGAUCAGCCACACUGGAACUGAGACACGGUCCAGACUCCUACGGGAGGCAGCAGUGGGGAAUAUUGGACAAUGGGCGCAAGCCUGAUCCAGCCAUACCGCGUGGGUGAAGAAGGCCUUCGGGUUGUAAAGCCCUUUUGUUGGGAAAGAAAAGCAGCAGGUUAAUACCCCGCUGUUCUGACGGUACCCAAAGAAUAAGCACCGGCUAACUUCGUG
This 492-nucleotide ribosomal RNA is filed under the name uncultured bacterium. RNAcentral describes it as "partial 16S ribosomal RNA". It matches the Rfam family "Bacterial small subunit ribosomal RNA", at positions 29 to 507 of the family's 1533-position model. The record is from RNAcentral.